RNAcentral lists this ribosomal RNA (253 nucleotides) under uncultured prokaryote. RNAcentral describes it as "partial 16S ribosomal RNA". It matches the Rfam family "Bacterial small subunit ribosomal RNA", at positions 524 to 776 of the family's 1533-position model. The record is from RNAcentral.
UACGAAGGGGGCGAGCGUUGUUCGGAAUUACUGGGCGUAAAGGGCGCGCAGGCGGCCUUUGAAGUCAGGCGUGAAAGCCCCGGGCUCAACCUGGGAAUUGCGCUUGAUACUCUGAGGCUUGAGUUCGGGAGAGGAGAGUGGAAUUCCCAGUGUAGAGGUGAAAUUCGUAGAUAUUGGGAAGAACACCGGUGGCGAAGGCGGCUCUCUGGACCGAUACUGACGCUGAGGCGCGAAAGCGUGGGGAGCAAACAGG